Molecule: non-coding RNA, 543 nt
Organism: Nephila pilipes (giant wood spider)
Lineage: Eukaryota; Metazoa; Arthropoda; Arachnida; Araneae; Nephilidae
Source: the annotation of a GenBank genome assembly
GGCAUAGUGUGGAACUGUGGAGAAGUGUAGAGCUCAGAUGUCCUCCUUAUCGUACUUUUGACUAAAGUUCAUAUUUACGAGGUCUGUCUUAAGAAUUCCACCUCUGUAAGACUAUAGGUGAAAUUCUUGGACCGCCGCAGGACAAGCGGCCGUGAAAGCUUUUGCCAAGAAUGUUUUCAUUGAACGCGCAAGAAUGUUUUCAUUUUCUAAGAACGCGAAAGUCGAAGUUCGAAGAUGAUUAGAUUCCACUCUAGUUCUACCCAUAAACUAUGCCAGCCAGCAAUCCGGUUGCGUUUGAGCAACGACACGCGGGGCAACUUCCGGUAAACUAGAGCUUUUUAAAUUCGGGUGAAGUAUGGUUUCAAAGCUGAAACUUAAAAGAAUUGACGCAAGGGCAUCAACAUGGUUUGAUACGGCUGUUCAAUUUGAUUCAACAUGGGUAAACCCACCCGGUUCGGACACGGCAAUGAUUAACAGAUUAAGAACUCUUUCUUGAUUCUGUGGGUAGUGGUGCAUGACCAUUCUCAGUUCGUGGGCAUGACU